CACUGUUCAUAAAAAAAUCACCAUAAUUAAUACACCCACUAUCAACAUCCAUAACAACAUAACCUUCAACACCCUUUUGUUUUCUUCAGUAAAAAUAUGUUUCAUCUUGAAAUAUAUUAUAUACACUGUUAAAAAAGUUUUUACCUGAUCAUCCCAGAUUUUUUCUUUGUUGUAGAUUACAGCUGCUCCAAAACUCCUUGCUGGGUUAAUGCCAGUGCCAGUAACUGGGAUUGUAGCCAAGUGAACCAUGAACACAGCAAAGCCAAUGGGGAGGGGUGCUAGUACCUUCAUAUUGAAAAAGUGAGAGCAUGAAUUAGUAAUAAAGUUUGGCCACUAAUGAGAGUUUUUUAGAAAUUGUUUUGGAACAUAUAUGGUGCUUACAGGAACAUGGGAGUCCCUAGCGUUCCUCUUAGGAUCAGUGGCAGAGAAGACAGUGUAGACAAGAACGAAG
RNAcentral lists this long non-coding RNA (451 nucleotides) under Phaseolus vulgaris (common bean). RNAcentral describes it as "long non-coding RNA (PVUL_LNC000111)". The record is from RNAcentral. Lineage: Eukaryota; Viridiplantae; Streptophyta; Magnoliopsida; Fabales; Fabaceae.